UAUUUGUUACUCACCACAUGCAGUAAAAUCUAUUUGUACUUCCAUGUGAAACCUAAUAAAUCAUAAGUACCUACUUUGAAUUGUUCAACGCAAAGGCAUACGACACAAAAUUUGGAAGUUCAGUGAAUGUUUGAGAAGGCGGAACAAAAUCAUACGUCUACCGAAUUCGUGCAACCCUUACAAAUACGCAAUGCUGCAUUACAUCAAUUGGCAACUCCUUCAGUUAUGACAAAGUUGGUUAAAUUGUACUUCAGUACAUAGGCAUCGGUCUGGUCGGAAAAAUACUCUGCUUCGACUCCUUCAUUUUCAAAGUCUAAAUUUUCGUAAAACUGUACUGCAAGCUCAUUGGUAAGUCUGAUGUAUACGGUUACCGUAUUCACUUUGUGUGAUGAUUUUUUCCCAAUCGACCCAAAAUUUCAGGACCAUCAGAGAAAAAGCCCUAUAUUCGGGAUGGUCAAACAGUUAGCUGUCAGAACUGAGGUUUUAAUACAUUAUCGUGUAACUUGGCGUAACUAAACCGGAGUUACUGUACAUAUUAUACCUAUAUUACGUAAACGUAUUUAAUUUUUAUCACCACCUCGGCCCUCACUGUGCUAUUUUACAAAAAUCACGUCUAUCAUUUUCGCUGGGAAUAGUAUUAAAUAGACAGUUCAUGUGAACCCAUCUGUGGAAGAGUACACAAAACAAUCUUGUUCGUUCUCGGCAUGCCAUACACAAUACCUAGGUACUUCCAAAUUGGCUAAAGAUGAAUGCCUCACGAUAUGGUUCCUUAAAACUUGUCG
Photinus pyralis (common eastern firefly) is the source of this 782-nucleotide long non-coding RNA. RefSeq lists it as uncharacterized. The transcript is spliced from 2 exons. The record is from RefSeq and is a predicted model, not a curated record. Lineage: Eukaryota; Metazoa; Arthropoda; Insecta; Coleoptera; Lampyridae.